GAUGAAGAACGUAGUGAAAUGCGAUACUUGGUGUGAAUUGCAGAAUCCCGUGAACCAUCGAGUCUUUGAACGCAAGUUGCGCCCGAAGCCACUAGGCCGAGGGCACGCCUGCCUGGGCGUCACACGCCGUUGCCCCCCCAUCUACUCCUUCGGGAUUGCGGGGGGGCGGAUGAUGGCCUCCCGAGCGCCUAGCCGCGCGGUUGGCAUAAAUACCAAGUCCUCGGCGACGCACGCCACGACAAUCGGUGGUUGCGAAACCUCGGUUGCCCGUCGUGUGCGUUCGUCGCGCAUCGAGGGCUCGAAAAAAUGCUCGGCUCCGGCUGGGCUUUCAACGCGACCCCAGGUCAGGCGGGGUUACCCGCUGAAUUUACGCAUAUCAAUAAGCGGAGGA
RNAcentral lists this unclassified non-coding RNA (391 nucleotides) under soil metagenome. RNAcentral describes it as "partial contains 5.8S ribosomal RNA, internal transcribed spacer 2, and large subunit ribosomal RNA". The stretch from base 1 to 122 matches the Rfam family "5.8S ribosomal RNA", at positions 35 to 154 of the family's 154-position model. The record is from RNAcentral.